GACGAACGCUGGCGGCGUGCUUAAUACAUGCGAGUCGAACGGAAAGGCCCUGCUCUUGUGGGGUGCUCGUGUGGCGAACGGGUGAGUAACACGUGAGUAACCUGCCCUUGACUUUGGGAUAAAUCCAGGAAACACGGGCUAAUAUCGGAUAGGAGCUACUGCUGCAUGGUGGGGGUUGGAAAGUUUCGGCGGUUGGGGAUGGACUCGCGGCAUAUCAGCUUGUUGGUGGGGUAGUGGCUUACCAAGGCUUUGACGGGUAGCCGGCCUGAGAGGGUGACCGGGCACAUUGCUACUAAGGGAGGGCGCAGUAGCCUACGGGAGGCAACGGGGGAGAAUAUGGCGGAAUGAGGGGAAGCGAGAUGCAGCAACGCUGCGUGCGUGAUAACGGCCUACGGGUGGUAAACCGCUGUCGCCUGUGACGAAGCGUGAGUGACGGUAAUUGGUAAAGAAGCACCGGCUAACUACGUG
RNAcentral lists this ribosomal RNA (468 nucleotides) under uncultured bacterium. RNAcentral describes it as "partial 16S ribosomal RNA". It matches the Rfam family "Bacterial small subunit ribosomal RNA", at positions 28 to 507 of the family's 1533-position model. The record is from RNAcentral.